Molecule: long non-coding RNA, 478 nt
Filed under: Linum usitatissimum (flax)
Lineage: Eukaryota; Viridiplantae; Streptophyta; Magnoliopsida; Malpighiales; Linaceae
Description: long non-coding RNA (LUSI_LNC001689)
Source: RNAcentral
CCAUUAACUGCUGGUGAAUAAGAUUCUGACUAUGCCCACGUUCCAUCGGCGGCUCGUUCAUGAGUGUAUGAGGCGAUAGUAUAUUUUGCUGCUGAAUUUGUCGGGACAUGAGCUGCUCUGCCAGACCCAACUGGUUAUGCUCUUGCUCAAGAAGCGAAAAACGGUGAUUACUAAUAGAGUCUUGCAACACAUUAGGGCCAGAGGCUGAGUCUUGCCUGUAGAUACUUGACCAUUUCUCAGGUGCAGGGUCACUCAAGGCAGAAAAGGAAGUUGUCUUAUGCACCUCGGGUUUUGUAGGUUGUCUUGCAGUAGAGCCUUCAAGCUCAGACCAGAACAGGCCAAAGGGAUGCAACUUACUGUCGGUCUGAUUUGUCAAGCUAGGGUCUGUCAGUUGAUCUGCAAGAGAUGGAUCGCUAUUAGAACCUGGAAGUCGCAGACUUCCGGAUGAUGCUACAAGGGGGAGGCUGGUGCUGUCAGG